GACGAACGCUGGCGGCGUGCUUAACACAUGCAAGUCGAGCGGUAAGGCCUCUUCGGGGGUACACGAGCGGCGAACGGGUGAGUAACACGUGGGUGACCUGCCCUCAGCUCUGGGAUAAGCCUGGGAAACUGGGUCUAAUACCGGAUAUGACCUUUCUUCCCAUGGGGUUUGGUGGAAAGUUUUUUCGGCUGGGGAUGGGGCCGCGGCCCAUCAGCUUGUUGGUGGGGUGAUGGCCUACCAAGGCGACGACGGGUAGCCGGCCUGAGAGGGCGACCGGCCACACUGGGACUGAGACACGGCCCAGACUCCUACGGGAGGCAGCAGUGGGGAAAAUUGCGCAAUGGGCGGAAGCCUGACGCAGCGACGCCGCGUGGGGGAUGACGGGCUUCGGGUUGUAAACCUCUUUCGACCCCGACGAAUUUGGACGGUAGGGGUAGAAGAAGCACCGGCCAACUACGUG
This 460-nucleotide ribosomal RNA is filed under the name uncultured bacterium. RNAcentral's name for it is "partial 16S ribosomal RNA". It matches the Rfam family "Bacterial small subunit ribosomal RNA", at positions 28 to 507 of the family's 1533-position model. The record is from RNAcentral.